This 672-nucleotide unclassified non-coding RNA is filed under the name Hevea brasiliensis (rubber tree). Lineage: Eukaryota; Viridiplantae; Streptophyta; Magnoliopsida; Malpighiales; Euphorbiaceae. The record is from RNAcentral.
GAAAAUUUAAAAUACCGAGAUUGAGGAGUCUAGGGUCAUAGUGCUAUAAACCAAUUGUAAGACUUAGUUAUAAGCUAUGAGCUUAUUCCUUGCCCCCUUUUCUGGUCAGUGUAAUUUGAACAUGGAGAGGAGGAAGAAUCGAAUGUGAUUUUGAUAAUCUAAUUUGAAUUGAAAUUUAUUGUUGGUGGGGGUUGAUAUUGGUUUAUUUGAUAAUCUAUUUGAUAAUUUAUUUGAUAAUCUAAUAGAAUCUAAUUUGAUAAUCUAUUAAUUGAUUUGUUUAUUUUUGGUGGGGGUUGAUUUUGGUCUAGAUUUUUUAUGGUUUGUUUUGAGUGGUGUAAAGGUAGGCAAUUUGGUGGUUGUGUCAAAAUAUAGCUAUUUAAUUUCUCUUAAAAACUGUAAAAAUUAUUGUCCCUCAUUCUUUCUUGUAGACUUUUGAGUAUUUACAUUUGGCUGUGCACAUGGUGGGUGUGCUUGACCUGCUAUUAUAUGUGAUUUGUGCAAAUCAGUUUUAAAUGAAAAGGACUUCUUCUUUUUCAGCCAGAUAAGAUUGCUUAUUGUUAUACCAUAUUAGAUCCAUUUUUUAAAUUCUGUUUCACUUUCUGGUUUCUGCUAUAUUUCUCAUCAUAAUUUCUGGGGCUGCCUCAUGAACAGAUAACACAAACUAUUCAAGUA